AAAUGGAACUUACUGUUUCUGUAAAAUGUCCGAUUAUAAAAUCAAAAGAAUAUCUAUAGCUGUCUUCCUACAAAAAAAA
Long non-coding RNA from Pogonomyrmex barbatus (red harvester ant), 79 nucleotides. NCBI's taxonomy places the organism in Eukaryota, Metazoa, Arthropoda, Insecta, Hymenoptera, Formicidae. The record is from RefSeq and is a predicted model, not a curated record.